RNAcentral lists this ribosomal RNA (497 nucleotides) under uncultured bacterium. RNAcentral describes it as "partial 16S ribosomal RNA". It matches the Rfam family "Bacterial small subunit ribosomal RNA", at positions 28 to 507 of the family's 1533-position model. The record is from RNAcentral.
GAUGAACGCUGGCGGCGUGCCUAACACAUGCAAGUCGAGCGAACAGACGAGGAGCUUGCUCCUCUGACGUUAGCGGCGGACGGGUGAGUAACACGUGGAUAACCUACCUAUAAGACUGGGAUAACUUCGGGAAACCGGAUCUAAUACCGGAUAAUAUAUUGAACCGCAUGGAUCAAUAGUGAAAGACGGCUUUGCUGUCACUUAUAGAUGGUUCCGCGCCGCAUUAGCUAGUUGGUAAGGUAACGGCUUACCAAGGCGACGAUGCGUAGCCGACCUGAGAGGGUGAUCGGCCACACUGGAACUGAGACACGGUCCAGACUCCUACGGGAGGCAGCAGUAGGGAAUCUUGCGCAAUGGGCGAAAGCCUGACGGAGCAAUGCCGCGUGAGUGAAGAAGGUCUUCGGAUCGUAAAGCUCUGUUAUUAGGGAAGAACAGAUGUGUGUGUAUCUAUGGACGUCUUGACGGUACCUAAACAGAAAGCAACGGCUAACUACGUG